CUAAGCCAUGCGAGUCGAGAGGUGCAAGACCUCGGCAUACUGCUCAGUAACACGUGGACAACCUAACCUACAGAGGGGGAUAACCCCGGGAAACUGGGGAUAAUACCCCAUAGACUAUGGAUGCUGGAAUGCUUCGUAGUUGAAAGGUCAGCCGCUGUAGGAUGGGUCUGCGGCCGAUUAGGUUGUUGUUGGGGUAACGGCCCAACAAGCCUGUAAUCGGUACGGGUUGUGGGAGCAAGAGCCCGGAGAUGGAUUCUGAGACACGAAUCCAGGCCCUACGGGGCGCAGCAGGCGCGAAAACUUUGCAAUGCGGGAAACCGUGACAAGGGAACUCUGAGUGCCCGUUAAAUCGGGCUAUCCAUCGGUUUAAAUAACCGGUGAAGAAAGGGCCGGGCAAGACCGGUGCCAGCCGCCGCGGUAAUACCGGCGGCUCGAGUGGUGGCCACUAUUACUGGGCUUAAAGCGUUCGUAGCUGGUUUGUUAAGUCUCUGGGGAAAUCUUCCGGCUCAACCGGAAGGCGUCUCAGGGAUACUGGCAGACUAGGGACCGGGAGAGGUGAGAGGUACUCCAGGGGUAGGAGUGAAAUCCUGUAAUCCUUGGGGGACCACCUGUGGCGAAGGCGUCUCACCAGAACGGCUCCGACAGCGAGGGACGAAAGCUGGGGGAGCAAACCGGAUUAGAUACCCGGGUAGUCCCAGCUGUAAACGAUGCGCGUUAGGUGUAUCGGUGACCACGAGUCAUCGAGGUGCCGAAGAGAAAUCGUGAAACGUGCCGCCUGGGAAGUACGGUCGCAAGGCUGAAACUUAAAGGAAUUGGCGGGGGAGCACCACAACAGGUGGAGCCUGCGGUUUAAUCGGACUCAACGCCGGAAGUCUCACCGGAUAAGACAGCUGGAUGAUAGUCGGGCUGAAGACUCUACUUGACUAGCUGAGAGGAGGUGCAUGRCCA
This 948-nucleotide ribosomal RNA is filed under the name uncultured archaeon. RNAcentral's name for it is "bacterial SSU rRNA". It matches the Rfam family "Archaeal small subunit ribosomal RNA", at positions 44 to 1000 of the family's 1478-position model. The record is from RNAcentral.